GGGUUGUGAGGUUAAGCGACCAAGCGUACACGGUGGAUGCCCUGGCAGUCAGAGGCGAUGAAGGACGUGCUAAUCUGCGAAAAGCGCCGGUAAGGUGAUAUGAACCGUUAUAACCGGCGAUGUCCGAAUGGGGAAACCCAGUGUGACUCGUCACACUAUCAUUAACUGAAUCCAUAGGUUAAUGAGGCGAACCGGGGGAACUGAAACAUCUAAGUACCCCGAGGAAAAGAAAUCAACCGAGAUUCCCCCAGUAGCGGCGAGCGAACGGGGAGGAGCCCAGAGCCUGAAUCAGUAUGUGUGUUAGUGGAAGCGUCUGGAAAGGCGCGCGAUACAGGGUGACAGCCCCGUACACAAAAGCGCAUGUGCUGUGAGCUCGAUGAGUAGGGCGGGACACGUGGUAUCCUGUCUGAAUAUGGGGGGACCAUCCUCCAAGGCUAAAUACUCCUGACUGACCGAUAGUGAACCAGUACCGUGAGGGAAAGGCGAAAAGAACCCCGGCGAGGGGAGUGAAAAAGAACCUGAAACCGUGUACGUACAAGCAGUGGGAGCCCCACCACUAAGCCAGUGGUGAACUCCACAUACGCAUCCUUUGCGGAAGAUACGAUUAACGGAGCGAAAGCGACGUUCAACCGCAAAAGAAGCAGAGGGGGCUUAGUGGUGGGGUGACUGCGUACCUUUUGUAUAAUGGGUCAGCGACUUAUAUUCUGUAGCAAGGUUAACCGUAUAGGGGAGCCGGAGGGAAACCGAGUCUUAACCGGGCGUUAAGUUGCAGGGUAUAGACCCGAAACCCGGUGAUCUAGCCAUGGGCAGGUUGAAGGUUGGGUAACACUAACUGGAGGACCGAACCGACUAAUGUUGAAAAAUUAGCGGAUGACCUGUGGCUGGGGGUGAAAGGCCAAUCAAACCGGGAGAUAGCUGGUUCUCCCCGAAAGCUAUUUAGGUAGCGCCUCGUGAACUCAUCUCCGGGGGUAGAGCACUGUUUCGGCCAGGGGGCCAUCCCGGCUUACCAACCCGAUGCAAACUGCGAAUACCGGAGAAUGUUAUCACGGGAGACACACGGCGGGUGCUAACGUCCGUCGUGAAGAGGGAAACAACCCAGACCGCCAGCUAAGGUCCCAAAGUCAUGGUUAAGUGGGAAACGAUGUGGGAAGGCCCAGACAGCCAGGAUGUUGGCUUAGAAGCAGCCAUCAUUUAAAGAAAGCGUAAUAGCUCACUGGUCGAGUCGGCCUGCGCGGAAGAUGUAACGGGGCUAAACCAUGCACCGAAGCUGCGGCAGCGAACGUAUCACUUAAAGCGAUUCAGCGGAUGACGAUUGACGGAGCGAAGCGACGUCAAAGCGUUUUACAACGUCGAGUCGGUUUAAGGAUACG
This 1370-nucleotide ribosomal RNA is filed under the name Salmonella enterica. Its description in RNAcentral is "partial 23S ribosomal RNA". It matches the Rfam family "Bacterial large subunit ribosomal RNA", at positions 1 to 1296 of the family's 2925-position model. Lineage: Bacteria; Pseudomonadati; Pseudomonadota; Gammaproteobacteria; Enterobacterales; Enterobacteriaceae. The record is from RNAcentral.